Rhododendron vialii is the source of this 112-nucleotide small nucleolar RNA. RefSeq annotates it as small nucleolar RNA snoR100. The record is from RefSeq and is a predicted model, not a curated record. The transcript has a single exon. Lineage: Eukaryota; Viridiplantae; Streptophyta; Magnoliopsida; Ericales; Ericaceae.
GAAUGAAGGAAGCAAGGUAAUGAGCAUAGAAAUUGAAUCGGGUCACUAGGCCUGCUCUCGCUGAUGCCUUCUGGGUGGCUUUGAUUUGGGGGCAUGGUUAUACGGCAUAACA